Molecule: RNA transcript, 1800 nt
Organism: Vitis vinifera (wine grape)
Lineage: Eukaryota; Viridiplantae; Streptophyta; Magnoliopsida; Vitales; Vitaceae
Gene name: retrovirus-related Pol polyprotein from transposon RE2
Exons: 2
Source: RefSeq, a predicted model, not a curated record
CCUUCAACUCCACUACCUAUUCACUGAAAGCCAAUUAAGAGGUGACACGUGGUUCCUUGAGAUUGUGACACCUGUCCAAAGUUAGCUGCAGAAAGUGAACCCCAAAUGGGGGUCAACACUUGUGUUUUUCUCGGUUAUUCCCUGACUCAACAUGUUUUUCAAUGUUUGGACAUUCACACGGGUAAACUUUAUCUCUCUCGUCAUGUCACUUUUGAUGAAAACAUUUUUCCUCUCACAAAGGCAACUACUUCUGCUCCUACGGUUGCUACUACACCUUGUCCUGCUCAUUCAUCUCCUUCUCCCGUUCAUCCGGUUUGCAUGGUUCCAUCAGAUGAUAUUUCUGUCACACCUAUAGCGCCUGAUGCUAUGGAAACCUUGACUUCAUCUCCUACACUAGGUAUGACUUCCUCUUCUCCUACUAGUAAUCCAUCAUUCUCCGAGUCGUCUCUUCCUAUAGCACCCGCACCUCUUACCCGCAUUCAUCCCAUGGUCACUCAGGCUUAGAAUAAUAUUUUAUGUCCUAAGCAGCUCUCAGUUAUUACCAAGCACCCUCUUGCACCACCAUUGGAACCAACCUGUGUCUCUCAGGCCCUCAAGGACCCCCAGUGGCUUAAGGCCAUGGAAGAUGAAUUUACUGCCUUAGUUUGACAUGGCACUUGGAACCUGGUUCCUAGGUCCUCUGUUUCCAAUUUAAUUGGUUGUAAAUGGAUGUUUCGAAUUAAGCAUCAUCUAGAUGGUACAAUAGAUCGGUUUAAGGCACGUCUUGUCACUAAAGGGUUCAAUCAGCACCUGGGUGGCGAUUAUACUGAGACCUUCAGUCCCAUUAUAAAACCCACCACCAUUCGGCUUAUCCUCUCGCUGGCCUUGCCAAACAAUUAACCUCUCAAGCAAAUCUACUUCAAUAACGCGUUUCUUCAUGGUCAGUUAACUGAGCAAGUGUUUAUGCAGCAACCUGCAGGCUUCAUUGAUCAAUCCCAUCCUCGUCAUGUUUAUUCUCUUCAGAAAUCCAUUUAUGGUCUUAAGCAGGCACCCAGAGCCUGGUACAACGAAUUGCGCUCAGGCCUUCUUGAGUUGGGGUUCUUUAAUUCGAAGUCUGAUAGCUCCUUAUUCAUCUUCAAUCGAGAUGGAAUUCUACUAUAUGUGUUGGUAUACGAUGAUUUAAUCCUCACCGGCAAUAACAGUCAGUUUUUACAACAUGUUAUCAAGUCCUUAGGUUGAAGAUGGUUGGUGCUAAGGAAGUUCAAACACCCAUGUAUGUGUCUGCUAAUCUCAUGCUUGAUGAUGGUUCAACUAGCUGUGAUGCUAUUGAAUACAGACGCACCAUUGGCUCUCUCCAAUACCUCUUGCUCACUCGCCCAUACCUCGAUUUCGCAGUCAAUCGUCUUGCUCAGUUCAUGCACAAAUCGACGGUCACGCACUGGCAACAUGUUAAAUGGCUCUUGUGCUAUGUCAAACAGACCAUUCACUUCAGUCUCUUAUUGCGUCAUCAAUCAAACUCAAUGCUUAAGGGCUUCUCCGAUGCUGACUGGGGUGGUGAUCUUGAUGAUCGAAAGUCUACCACGGCUUAUAUGAUUUUUAUGGGCAAUAAUCCUAUCAGUUGGCGCACUAUGAAGCAAAAGGUCGUGGCUCGCUCCUCUACGGAAGCAGAAUAUCAGGCACUGGUCACUGCAGCUUCAGAUAUUAUUUACUGUUCUUUUCAAUAACAUAACAUCCAUGUAUAAGAAAAAAAACUAGGAAGCCAUAGUUUGUCAAGGAAUGGAGGAACUGUGAAUUGUUUUUGCAAUGGAGAGGACCCAAUUU